AACGAACGCUGGCGGCAGGCCUAACACAUGCAAGUCGAGCGGACCUUUCGGGGUCAGCGGCGGACGGGUGAGUAACGCGUGGGAAUAUGCCCUUCUCUACGGAAUAGUCCUGGGAAACUGGGGGUAAUACCGUAUACGCCCUUUGGGGGAAAGAUUUAUCGGGGAAGGAUUAGCCCGCGUUGGAUUCGGUAGUUGGUGGGGUAAUGGCCUACCAAGCCGACGAUCCAUAGCUGGUUUGAGAGGAUGAUCAGCCACACUGGGACUGAGACACGGCCCAGACUCCUACGGGAGGCAGCAGUGGGGAAUCUUAGACAAUGGGGGCAACCCUGAUCUAGCCAUGCCGCGUGAGUGAUGAAGGCCUUAGGGUUGUAAAGCUCUUUCAGCUGGGAAGAUAAUGACGGUACCAGCAGAAGAAGCCCCGGCUAACUCCGUG
This 433-nucleotide ribosomal RNA is filed under the name uncultured bacterium. Its description in RNAcentral is "partial 16S ribosomal RNA". It matches the Rfam family "Bacterial small subunit ribosomal RNA", at positions 29 to 507 of the family's 1533-position model. The record is from RNAcentral.